CCUUCGAUAGCUCAGUUGGAAGAGCGUGGGACUGUAAUGGUUGACCUGCCUAAUCCGGCAAAUUGACAUCCCAAGGUCACUGGUUCGACCCCGGUUCGAAGGA
Non-coding RNA from Cerioporus squamosus, 103 nucleotides. The record is from the annotation of a GenBank genome assembly. NCBI's taxonomy places the organism in Eukaryota, Fungi, Basidiomycota, Agaricomycetes, Polyporales, Polyporaceae.